GAUGAAGAACGCAGCGAAAUGCGAUACGUAAUGUGAAUUGCAGAAUUCAGUGAAUCAUCGAAUCUUUGAACGCACAUUGCGCCCGCCAGCACUCUGGCGGGCAUGCCUGUUCGAGCGUCAUUUCAACCAUCAAGCCCCCGGGCCUGGCGUUGGGGAUCGGCGGAAGCCCCCUGCGGGCACAACGCCGUCCCCCAAAUACAGUGGCGGUCCCGCCGCAGCUUCCAUUGCGUAGUAGCUAACACCUCGCAACUGGAGAGCGGCGCGGCCACGCCGUAAAACACCCAACUUCUGAAUGUUGACCUCGAAUCAGGUAGGAAUACCCGCUGAACUUAAGCAUAUCAAUAAGCGGAGGA
This 353-nucleotide unclassified non-coding RNA is filed under the name soil metagenome. RNAcentral describes it as "partial contains 5.8S ribosomal RNA, internal transcribed spacer 2, and large subunit ribosomal RNA". The stretch from base 1 to 120 matches the Rfam family "5.8S ribosomal RNA", at positions 35 to 154 of the family's 154-position model. The record is from RNAcentral.